Molecule: long non-coding RNA, 118 nt
Organism: Amphimedon queenslandica
Lineage: Eukaryota; Metazoa; Porifera; Demospongiae; Haplosclerida; Niphatidae
Exons: 2
Source: RefSeq, a predicted model, not a curated record
CAUUUUUAUGCUACUAAUAUUUGUAUUUUUAAGCCCCCCAAGCUCUUUGUAAAAAAAUAUAAGUAGUUACUUCUUAUAAGCUGUAAAAACUUCUAAAGGUUGACAAUAGACCACUAAA